UACGGAGGAUCCAAGCGUUAUCCGGAUUUAUUGGGUUUAAAGGGUGCGUAGGCGGCUUUAUAAGUCGGUGUUUAAAGUUUCUGGCUUAACCAGAGGAAUGGCACUGAUACUGUAGAGCUUGAGUACAAGCGAGGCAGGCGGAAUUUAUGGUGUAGCGGUGAAAUGCUCAGAUACCAUAAAGAACACCGAUAGCGUAGGCAGCUUGCCAGUAUGUAACUGACGCUGAGGCACGAAAGCGUGGGGAUCAAACAGG
Molecule: ribosomal RNA, 253 nt
Filed under: uncultured bacterium
Lineage: Bacteria
Description: partial 16S ribosomal RNA
Rfam family: Bacterial small subunit ribosomal RNA
Source: RNAcentral